CCUACGGGAGGCAGCAGUGGGGAAUAUUGGGCAAUGGGCGCAAGCCUGACCCAGCAACGCCGCGUGAAGGAAGAAGGCUUUCGGGUUGUAAACUUCUUUUUUCAGGGACGAAGCAAGUGACGGUACCUGAGGAAUAAGCCACGGCUAACUACGUGCCAGCAGUCGCGGUAAUACGUAGGUGGCAAGCGUUAUCCGGAUUUACUGGGUGUAAAGGGCGUGUAGGCGGGACUGCAAGUCAGAUGUGAAAACCACGGGCUCAACCUGUGGCCUGCAUUUGAAACUGUAGUUCUUGAGUACUGGAGAGGCAGACGGAAUGCCUGGUGUAGCGGUGAAAUGCGUAGAUAUUGGGAGGAACACCGGUGGCGAAGGCGGUCUGCUGGACAGCAACUGACGCUGAGGCGCGAAAGCGUGGGGAGCGAACAGGAUUAGAUACCCGGGUAGUC
This 443-nucleotide ribosomal RNA is filed under the name uncultured bacterium. RNAcentral describes it as "partial 16S ribosomal RNA". It matches the Rfam family "Bacterial small subunit ribosomal RNA", at positions 338 to 795 of the family's 1533-position model. The record is from RNAcentral.